AUGCAUAGCAGAAAAAGAGAGUUUCAGGUUCUUGACUCGUUGAUGACCGAAAAACUUGACACUGUUACUAGAGAACUCGUUGAGGACCUGAGAAAACAACUAGCAGAAGAUAUCCAAGAAGCAAAUGCAACCGGAAUUGUGAAUUAUCCGGAUGUUUCCAAGUGGCCUAUUCAAACGUAUGACAUGCCAAAACAACAUGAUGGGUACGCAAGUCAUGUUUGGACUACGAUGUACAAUGAACGCUGUGCUAACACCAUUUUUUUUCAGACCUCAAUUGAUGAUUCAAGAGAGUUAAUGAUUGCGCAACUUAUAUUUUCGGAAAGAAACAAGCUUGAUGAAGUGAAAAACAAAGUUAUUCGGAUAUCAAAGAAGAAGAAAUAGAUGCGGCACGGAGG
Long non-coding RNA from Triticum aestivum (bread wheat), 395 nucleotides. RefSeq lists it as uncharacterized. The transcript is spliced from 3 exons. NCBI's taxonomy places the organism in Eukaryota, Viridiplantae, Streptophyta, Magnoliopsida, Poales, Poaceae. The record is from RefSeq and is a predicted model, not a curated record.